RNAcentral lists this small RNA (283 nucleotides) under Arabidopsis thaliana (thale cress). RNAcentral's name for it is "ATSL116420". Lineage: Eukaryota; Viridiplantae; Streptophyta; Magnoliopsida; Brassicales; Brassicaceae. The record is from RNAcentral.
AAGGAAGGCUUUUUUACCAAGAACAGGAGCAGAGAUGGCGACGGUAGGCUUGAGAAGGAGAGCCGGACGAGCGGCGGAGACGGUGGAAGCGGAGGCAGUAAAGCUAGCCAUUUCUCUAUUUGCUUCCCCUAACGACUGAGAGACUCUUCAAUUGAUUUUUUGUUUGUUCUGUUUGUGUUCUACAGCAACAAGAACACUUUUAAUUUCUUUGCUUGUGUUGGCUUUUGGAUCAAACAUAAAUAUGUGGUGGAUAAAAAAUCUGUUCGAACCAACACAAGCCAUC